AUGCAGUCGACGGGCUCUUCGGAGCAAGUGGCGGACGGGUGAGUAACGCGUGAGAAUGUGCCUUGAGGAUGGGGAUAACAAUAGGAAACUAAUGCUAAGACCCAAUGUGCCUUAACUGGUGAAAAAUGAAAAUUGCCUGAAGAGGAGCUCGCGUCUGAUUAGCUAGUUGGGGUGGUAAAAGCGCACCAAGGCGACGAUCAGUAGCUGGUCUGAGAGGAUGAGCAGCCACACUGGGACUGAGACACGGCCCAGACUCCUACGGGAGGCAGCAGUGGGGAAUUUUCCGCAAUGGGCGAAAGCCUGACGGAGCAAUACCGCGUGAGGGAGGAAGGCUCUUGGGUUGUAAACCUCAAAACUUAGGGAAGAAAAAAAUGACGGUACCUAAUUUAAGCAUCGGCUAACUCCGUG
Molecule: ribosomal RNA, 408 nt
Filed under: uncultured bacterium
Lineage: Bacteria
Description: bacterial SSU rRNA
Rfam family: Bacterial small subunit ribosomal RNA
Source: RNAcentral